Molecule: ribosomal RNA, 301 nt
Filed under: uncultured bacterium
Lineage: Bacteria
Description: partial 16S ribosomal RNA
Rfam family: Bacterial small subunit ribosomal RNA
Source: RNAcentral
CAGUCGCCGCGGUAAUACGUAGGGUGCGAGCGUUAAUCGGAAUUACUGGGCGUAAAGCGUGCGCAGGCGGUUUUGUAAGACAGGCGUGAAAUCCCCGGGCUCAACCUGGGAACUGCAUUUGUGACUGUAUAGCUAGAGUACGGCAGAGGGGGAUGGAAUUCCGCGUGUAGCAGUGAAAUGCGUAGAUAUGCGGAGGAACACCGAUGGCGAAGGCAAUCCCCUGGGCCUGUACUGACGCUCAUGCACGAAAGCGUGGGGAGCAAACAGGAUUAGAUACCCCUGUAGUCCCUGUCUCUUAUAC